Molecule: ribosomal RNA, 253 nt
Filed under: uncultured bacterium
Lineage: Bacteria
Description: partial 16S ribosomal RNA
Rfam family: Bacterial small subunit ribosomal RNA
Source: RNAcentral
UACGGAGGGUGCGAGCGUUGUCCGGAAUCAUUGGGCGUAAAGGGCGCGUAGGUGGCCCGGUCAGUCCGUGGUGAAAGCGCGGGGCUCAACCCCGCGUCGGCCAUGGAUACUGCUGGGCUGGAGCACUGUAGAGGCAGGCGGAAUUCCGGGUGUAGCGGUGGAAUGCGUAGAGAUCCGGAAGAACACCGGAGGCGAAGGCGGCUUGCUGGGCUCGGUCUGACGCUGAGGCGCGAAAGCUAGGGGAGCGAACGGG